Molecule: ribosomal RNA, 249 nt
Filed under: uncultured bacterium
Lineage: Bacteria
Description: partial 16S ribosomal RNA
Rfam family: Bacterial small subunit ribosomal RNA
Source: RNAcentral
GUUGAUGGCGACCGGCGCACGGGUGAGUAACACGUAUCCAACCUGCCGAUGACUAGGGGAUAGCCUUUCGAAAGAAAGAUUAAUACCCGAUGGCAUAGUUCUUCCGCAUGGUAGAACUAUUAAAGAAUUUCGGUCAUCGAUGGGGAUGCGUUCCAUUAGGUUGUUGGCGGGGUAACGGCCCACCAAGCCUUCGAUGGAUAGGGGUUCUGAGAGGAAGGUCCCCCACAUUGGAACUGAGACACGGUCCAA